Molecule: unclassified non-coding RNA, 89 nt
Filed under: Pseudomonas koreensis
Lineage: Bacteria; Pseudomonadati; Pseudomonadota; Gammaproteobacteria; Pseudomonadales; Pseudomonadaceae
Source: RNAcentral
UGUAGGAGUGAGCCUGCUCGCGAUAGCGGUGUGUCAGACAACAUCAACGUGGCUGAUGCACCGCUAUCGCGAGCAGGCUCACUCCUACA